UACGGAAGGCAGCGGUGGGGAAUAUUGCACAAUGGGCGAAAGCCUGAUGCAGCUAUGCCGCGUGUAUGAAGAAGGCCUUAGGGUUGUAAAGUACUUUCAUCGGGGAGGAAAAACAAAACUAAUAAUUUUAUUUCUUGACGUUACCCGAAAAAGAAGCACCGGCUAACUCCGUGCCAGCAGCCGCGGUAAUACGGAGGGUGCUAGCGUUAAUCAGAAUUACUGGGCGUAAAGAGCACGUAGGUGGUUUUUUUAAGUCAGAUGUGAAAUCCCUGGGCUUAACCUGGAACUGCAUUUUGAAACUGAAAUACUAGAGUAUCGUAGAGGGAGGUAGAAUUCUAGGUGUAGCGGUGAAAUGCGUAGAUAUCUGGAGGAAUACCUGUGGCGAAAGCGGCCUCCUAAACGAAUACUGACACUGAGGGUGCGAAAGCGUGGGGAGCAAACAGGGAUUAGAUACC
Molecule: ribosomal RNA, 455 nt
Filed under: uncultured bacterium
Lineage: Bacteria
Description: bacterial SSU rRNA
Rfam family: Bacterial small subunit ribosomal RNA
Source: RNAcentral